RNAcentral lists this ribosomal RNA (347 nucleotides) under Haliclona sp. UPDM SZN-HL114. Its description in RNAcentral is "partial large subunit ribosomal RNA". The record is from RNAcentral. Lineage: Eukaryota; Metazoa; Porifera; Demospongiae; Haplosclerida; Chalinidae.
GAAAAGAACUUUGGAGAGAGAGCUCAAUAGCCCGUGAAACCGUUGGGAGGGAAGCUCAGGGUGGCGAGGUUGUCGUGCUCUGUCGGAGUUCAGCUGGCGGUGGUCAGGUUGCUGACCGCUGCCGGUGCAGUCUUCGGCAGAGUUGGACCGUCAGUUGGGAAGAGACUGGGACCUGCUAUAUCGGCGGUCGGGAGGUAAGCCUCGCGGUUCCUCUGGGUGCCCGGGGUGACAUACAGCCGUUCUGCCGUGGUCCCGGCCGUCUUUCAGGUGUGUUUGAUGUCUGUUCGUCCAGAAUGGGAAGGUGCAGCUCCCCCCGUGGGAGUUCGCGCCGUCGCCGGAGUUGCUUU